Molecule: ribosomal RNA, 508 nt
Filed under: Paenibacillaceae bacterium CL5.11
Lineage: Bacteria; Bacillati; Bacillota; Bacilli; Caryophanales; Paenibacillaceae
Description: bacterial SSU rRNA
Rfam family: Bacterial small subunit ribosomal RNA
Source: RNAcentral
UUGAUCCCUGGCUCAGGACGAACGCUGGCGGCGUGCCUAAUACAUGCAAGUCGAGCGGAGUUGAUGAGGUGCUUGCACCUCUGAUACUUAGCGGCGGACGGGUGAGUAACACGUGGGUAACCUGCCUAUAAGACUGGGAUAACAUUCGGAAACGAAUGCUAAUACCGGAUACGCGAUUUGGUCGCAUGAUCGAAUCGGGAAAGAUGGAGCAAUCUAUCACUUAUAGAUGGACCCGCGGCGCAUUAGCUAGUUGGUGAGGUAACGGCUCACCAAGGCGACGAUGCGUAGCCGACCUGAGAGGGUGAUCGGCCACACUGGGACUGAGACACGGCCCAGACUCCUACGGGAGGCAGCAGUAGGGAAUCUUCCGCAAUGGACGAAAGUCUGACGGAGCAACGCCGCGUGAGUGAUGAAGGUUUUCGGAUCGUAAAGCUCUGUUGCCAGGGAAGAAUGCUUGGGAGAGUAACUGCUCCCAAGGUGACGGUACCUGAGAAGAAAGCCCCGGCUA